RNAcentral lists this non-coding RNA (31 nucleotides) under Mus musculus (house mouse). The record is from RNAcentral. Lineage: Eukaryota; Metazoa; Chordata; Mammalia; Rodentia; Muridae.
UAAAAUUGGGCUCUGCCCUUUGUGGGUGGUU